UACGGAGGGUGCAAGCAUUAAUCGGAUUUACUGGGCGUAAAGGGCGCGUAGGCUGCCGAUCAAGUCAGAUGUGAAAUUCCAGAGCUCAACUUUGGAGCUGCAUCUGAAACUGGUUAGCUAGAGGGUAGACGGAGAAAACGGAAUUCCACAUGUAGCGGUGAAAUGCGUAGAUAUGUGGAGGAACACCGGUGGCGAAAGCGGUUUUCUAGUUUAUACCUGACGCUGAGGCGCGAAAGCGAGGGGAGCAAACAGGAUUAGAUACCCUUGUA
Molecule: ribosomal RNA, 269 nt
Filed under: uncultured prokaryote
Description: partial 16S ribosomal RNA
Rfam family: Bacterial small subunit ribosomal RNA
Source: RNAcentral